GGAUGAACGCUAGCGAUAGGCUUACCACAUGCAAGUCGAGGGGCAGCGAGGGUAGCAAUACCUGUCGGCGACCGGCGCACGGGUGAGUAACGCGUAUGUAACCUGCCCGCAACAGGGGGAUAACCCGGCGAAAGUCGGACUAAUACCGCAUAAAACAGGGGUCCCGCAUGGGAAUAUUUGUUAAAGAUUUAUCGGUUGCGGAUGGGCAUGCGUACCAUUAGGUAGUUGGUGAGGUAACGGCUCACCAAGCCUUCGAUGGUUAGGGGUUCUGAGAGGAAGGUCCCCCACACUGGUACUGAGACACGGACCAGACUCCUACGGGAGGCAGCAGUGAGGAAUAUUGGUCAAUGGGCGAGAGCCUGAACCAGCCAAGUCGCGUGAAGGAUGACUGCCCUAUGGGUUGUAAACUUCUUUUACAAGGGAAUAAAAUGAGAUACGUGUAUUUUAUUGCAUGUACCUUGGGAAUAAGCAUCGGCUAACUCCGUG
This 486-nucleotide ribosomal RNA is filed under the name uncultured bacterium. RNAcentral's name for it is "partial 16S ribosomal RNA". It matches the Rfam family "Bacterial small subunit ribosomal RNA", at positions 27 to 507 of the family's 1533-position model. The record is from RNAcentral.